AGUGGUUAAGUGCUUGGCUGCUAACCAAAAGGUUUGUGGUUCGAAUCCACCAGCCACUC
Molecule: transfer RNA, 59 nt
Filed under: Loxodonta africana (African savanna elephant)
Lineage: Eukaryota; Metazoa; Chordata; Mammalia; Proboscidea; Elephantidae
Rfam family: tRNA
About the family: Transfer RNA (tRNA) molecules are approximately 80 nucleotides in length. Their secondary structure includes four short double-helical elements and three loops (D, anti-codon, and T loops).
Source: Rfam by way of RNAcentral